AGCAUCUAAGCACGAAACUUGCCCCGAGAUGAGUUCUCCCUGACUCCUUGAGAGUCCUGAAGGAACGUUAAAGACGAUGACGUUGAUAGGUCGGGUGUGUAAGCGUAGCGAUACGUUGAGCUAACCGAUACUAAUGAACCGUGAGGCUUAACCUUACAACGCCGAAGGUGUUU
Molecule: ribosomal RNA, 173 nt
Filed under: Klebsiella aerogenes
Lineage: Bacteria; Pseudomonadati; Pseudomonadota; Gammaproteobacteria; Enterobacterales; Enterobacteriaceae
Description: partial 23S ribosomal RNA
Rfam family: Bacterial large subunit ribosomal RNA (bases 1-155)
Source: RNAcentral